This 419-nucleotide ribosomal RNA is filed under the name uncultured bacterium. RNAcentral describes it as "bacterial SSU rRNA". It matches the Rfam family "Bacterial small subunit ribosomal RNA", at positions 94 to 526 of the family's 1533-position model. The record is from RNAcentral.
AGUGGCGGACGGGUGAGUAACGCGUAGGCAAUCUGCCCGUAAGAGGGGGAUAACACCGGGAAACCGGUGCUAAUACCGCAUAAUAUUAUUCUGGUGCAUGCCGGGAUAAUUAAAGGAGCAAUCCGCUUACGGAUGAGCCUGCGUCUGAUUAGCUGGUUGGCAGGGUAACGGCCUGCCAAGGCGACGAUCAGUAGCCGGCCUGAGAGGGUGACCGGCCACACUGGAACUGAGACACGGUCCAGACUCCUACGGGAGGCAGCAGUGGGGAAUCUUCCGCAAUGGGCGCAAGCCUGACGGAGCAACGCCGCGUGAGUGAAGAAGGCCUUCGGGUUGUAAAACUCUGUCUUCAGGGAAGAAACAAAUGACGGUACCUGAGGAGGAAGCCACGGCUAACUACGUGCCAGCAGCCGCGGUAAUAC